This is a non-coding RNA of Corylus avellana, 2706 nucleotides long. Lineage: Eukaryota; Viridiplantae; Streptophyta; Magnoliopsida; Fagales; Betulaceae. The record is from RefSeq and is a predicted model, not a curated record.
CCUUUUUGGUGGAAGAGUUCUACGAUUCUGUGAAGAGAAAACACAUAGAACUUGGGCUUUUGCAAAGAACGAAGACUCUAUUGACAAUCCUUGAAGCUCAAGUAAGGAGUAACUUGUGAUAGUGAAUAGAGAUGAAUAAGAGUUGGAUGCAAGAACCUACUCGAUGUUCCGAUCGAUAUCUAAAAGGUGUUGAAGAAUUCCUUAGAAUGGCGCGUCAAUGUGUGGAUGUAAAUGGUAUUAUGAGGUGUCCAUGUCGUGAUUGUGCAAAUCGAUAUUUUCGUCAUAUUGAGUUGGUGGAGAGUCACUUGUAUGAACAUGGAAUUGAUCGCACAUACACUCUAUGGAUAUUUCAUGAUGAAGAAGAUCCGUGUGGUAUAAACGUGACUGCCAACUUACACACUGAUACAAAUGUGAGGAUAAAGGAGGUUGAUGAGAUUAAAGAAUUGUUAGGCAAUGUUCAAAUGGGGACAUUUUUUGAAGCCAACAUAGGUGAACCCUCUACUACUCCAGGUUUGACAACUAAUAGUCACAAAUAUAGAACCCCUUUUGGUCGAUUAUGGGAAGAUGGCAUGGGUGGACUUUAUCCAGGCUGUAAUAAAUUUACAAAAGUAGCUUUCAUUUUGAAGAUGCUUCAUAUAAAGACAAUUUGCAACAUGAGUAACAAGGCAUUCGAUAUGAUAAUUAAAUUGAUAAAGGAGGCCCUUCCUGAUGGAGACACAUUGCCACGCUCGUACCAAGAAGUAAAGCGAUUUUGCCGAGACUUGAGUUUUGGUUAUGAGUCGAUACAUGCAUGCAAGAAUGAUUGUGUGCUUUUCUGGAAGGAACAUGCUGAUAAAGUAAAAUGCCCAACAUGCAACACUUCAAGAUGGAGUUGUGUUAAGGGUAGUGGCAAGAAAAUUUCUCAAAAGGUCUUGCGGUAUUUCCCAAUAAAACCGAGGUUGCAAUGAUUGUUUAUGUCAAAAGAUAUGGCCAAACAUAUGAGGUGGCACAAAGAUGAACGAAAAGAUGACGGCAACACUCUAAGACACCCAGCCGAUGGUCUUGCGUGGAAAGAGUUUGAUAAAGAACAUGAAUGGUUUGCUUGUGAUUCCCGCAACGUGCGACUUGGUUUGGCAAGUGAUGGUUUCAACCCAUUUGGUAAUAUGAGUACCACAUAUAGCAUAUGGCCAGUAGUAGUAAUGCCGUACAAUUUACCCCUAUGGAUGUGUAUGAAUGACUCAAAUAACAAUGGCAUUCAAGACGAUACUUGAUCAUAGAGAGUUGAUCAGCAAGUGAUGUAAUCAUAGAAGCAGUCCUAAAGGAUUUUCAUGAACGAAGAGCUCUCAAGUUGCUGGUACUUCUUCCCGUCCUCGCAUUUUCAGAAAGCAAGAAGCUGAAUAUGAAGAGGAAGUAUCUGAGGAAGAAGGAUCUGAAGAAGAAUCUGAAGGAAAUAAUGAAAAGCUGAAAGGCACUCAAGGUAUUAUCCAGAUUGAAAAUCCUAAUUUGGUAAAGCCAAAGUCCUUGAAAGCCAGAGAUAUCGAUGUAAGCUCCACCAAAUUUUCUCAUGCAUUCUUCAUUUAUUAACUUAUGCCAAAAAAAGAAGUAAUGUUUUUUCUUCCCAUGUAGUUGGGGAAACAAUUGAACUUUCAAGGCGUGAAAGGUUUGUUAAUGGUCACUUUUGUUCUUCAAGAGGACAAUUUAUGUUCUAUUUCGAAGUGGGAGUCCAUAUUUUUUUAUUUUUUAUUUUUAAAUAUAUCUUUGUGGUUUUCUUUGAUUCUUUUUCAGUCCUAUGACACAAAUCUUCAUUGAAGUACAUACUUCUUUAUACUUUUAACAGAUUUGCAUGUAAAGCAAUUGUAUUUAUUAUCAACUUUUGUGUAUCAUGCAGAGAGGAGAUAGAGAAACAGAAAACUCAUGAGCGAUAUAUGAAAUUGCAAGAACAGGGGAAAACAGAACAAGCUAAGAAAGAUUUAGGCAUCAUAGAAGCAUUACUGCACUUACAAGCACAUACGGGAAAGAGAAUAUUGAUGAAGAAUGAAUGGAUACCUCAAAUGAAGGUGCAAGCUUUUUUGGUUAAGCUCAUAGCAGUUCUUCAUCUAUGAUGUGGCGCAUUUGCUUCUGCGAGCGGCCGACUAUUGUCAAAACUACUAACACUGAGAAAAACUUUGGAAGGAGGUUUGUGAGUUGCGAAAACUGGAAGGCAAGUACUUGAUAUUUUAUGUAAUCAAUAUAUGAACUGUCAUUGUUUGCUGCUUUUGUUUAGUUUAUUCAAUUAAUUUAUGUUGGUAAUUGUUAGUUGUAGUGUGUUUGAUAGAUUAACCAAGAUUGUGGUUUCUUUGAAUGGCUUGAUCCUAGAAUGUGCUCCUUUGGUAAGAAGGUAGUACAUCGUUUGCAUCGAAGGCAUGAAUAUUUGGAGGCUCAAGCGAAAUGAUAUGAAAUAUUGGUUGAAGUUGAAGUUGGGAAGUGAGAGCAGAAAAUGAGAAAAAAAAACUGUUCAGCUGAAGGUAGAAAUUGAGAGUGAAGCUUGGCAUAUGAAGGAACAAUUGCUGAAUAAGAUAUCCCAGUAUUGUAAACAAAUCGAGAUUGUGGACAUAAAGAUGAAUGCAAUGAAGAAGAAUUAGCAUACAAUCAUUGUGUGUUCAUGGAUCGUAAUGAUGUGUGCAUUAUUCAUGUUCUUCUUUGGAUAGAUUCCCAAUGGUCACCAUGUUUGCAAAUUAGGUCGUGUGA